This 1492-nucleotide unclassified non-coding RNA is filed under the name Centruroides sculpturatus (bark scorpion). RNAcentral describes it as "uncharacterized LOC111622895, transcript variant X1". The record is from RNAcentral. Lineage: Eukaryota; Metazoa; Arthropoda; Arachnida; Scorpiones; Buthidae.
AACACAAGAGCUAAUAAAAAUGGAUCGCGUUUUCACAGCAUCCAUUAUGUUAAAUGUUUGAGUAUUCUUUGGGAAUCUUAUAAAUCCCAAUUCUAGCUUUUCUAAAAAUGACUAAGAUGAACGACAAGACUCGUCUUUAGCUGCAAUCGAUUCCAACGAGAAAGGGAGGGAUUGGAUGUGGAUGUGCGAAGAUUCGCCAGUCCACAAAAUUUGGAUUAUGUUAAGUUUCGAGGCAGAAAGUUGAAGAAAGGCCUCUCGAAGCAGUACGAACCCUCGACCGGUGCUUUCGAAGGUUUGGACGUUUUUGAAAAUAGCAUCAAGCCUGCUUAUAGAAAAGCUGUGAUGAAGGUUCGACCAAUCUGUCAGACGGCCUGCCAACGUUUUAACAGUGAGAGAUUGGUCGAAGAUGUGGAGGAUGAUGGAGUGAACAAUAGAGAGAUUCCUCCACGAAGCAACAAAGAGAACGAAGACUCGGAAGAGCACGAAGAUUGCGUGCAAGAUAAUCUUGGCCAUUCCAGGGGUAGAAAUACAUUGAAGAAAGUCGGGUCGUUCUUUAAGAGCAUGUGGAAACCCGUUAAGAGAUCCGUGCAGAAGGUGUGUAAAAUGGCGAGAAGUGGAGAAUGCGAGUACGUUCGGUUCGAGUAAGGAUCUCUUUGCUUCCAACUGUCAAAUUCGACAAUAAGAUCUGCUCUGUGAUUUGCUGGAUCUGGGCAGAGUUGGCUAAUUAUAUGGUUUUUUCUGCAAACCAUCGAUGACUUCUCCUGAUUUUGACAUCCCGAUUGCGUCAAUGCCAAGUUCGAUUAUGACUUCCCAAUUUUGACUUUAUCCCGGCUGUGUCUCCUUAUUAUUGUCUUUUAGUCAAUUAUCAUUUACCCGAAUUGGUCUACACGAAUUUGGACUCCCGAUUUAUGUCUACUUCACGAAUCUGGACUCUCCCGAAUUACGUCUACCCCGAAUUUGACUCCUCAAUUGUGCCUGUACUCGAAUUGGACUCUCCCGAAUUGUGUCAAACCCGGAUUUGACUCAUGAAUGGUGUCUGCACUCGAAUAUGGACGCUCCCGAAUUACGUCUACCCCUAAUUUGAUUCAUAAAUGGUGUCUAAACUCGAAUCUGGACUCACCCGAAUUACGUCUAUCUCGAAUUUGACUUCAGAAUCCUCUCUAUAUUGAAAUUUGGACUCUUCCGGCUUGUGUCUGUGCUCAAAUUUGACUCCCAAUUUUUGUUAUUCCUGGAACUUGGACUCUCCGGAAUUGUGUUUUAAUUUGUUAUUGGAACGACACGCUCAACAAAUUGAUAUUUGUUAUUCAGACACUAGUAAAAGGAUUAAUUGCAAAACAAAUUUUUUAUACAUAAAACGUUUGAUAAAUUAAUUGAUUAUUAAUAUAUUAAUUAAUAAUUUUAAUCUCAAUUAUAAAUUGUUGUAUAUUUAUAUUUGUAAAACAUUAAUAGUAAUUGUUACGGCCUAAUUAAGGCAUCCAAGCGAUAGUCGAGA